This 1021-nucleotide small RNA is filed under the name Pan troglodytes (chimpanzee). RNAcentral's name for it is "retained intron". Lineage: Eukaryota; Metazoa; Chordata; Mammalia; Primates; Hominidae. The record is from RNAcentral.
GGAGGCGGAGCCGCCGCUCUACCCGAUGGCGGGGGCUGCGGGGCCGCAGGGCGACGAGGACCGGCUCGGGGUCCCGGACGGGCCCGAGGCCCCGCUGGACGAGCUGGUGGGCGCGUACCCCAACUACAACGAGGAGGAGGAGGAGCGCCGCUACUACCGCCGCAAGCGCCUGGGCGUGCUCAAGAACGUGCUGGCUGCCAGCGCCGGAGGCAUGCUCACCUACGGCGUCUACCUGGGCCUCCUGCAGAUGCAGCUGAUCCUGCACUACGACGAGACCUACCGCGAGGUGAAGUAUGGCAACAUGGGGCUGCCCGACAUCGACAGCAAAAUGCUGAUGGGCAUCAACGUGACUCCCAUCGCCGCCCUGCUCUACACACCUGUGCUCAUCAGGUUUUUCGGAACGAAGUGGAUGAUGUUCCUCGCUGUGGGCAUCUACGCCCUCUUUGUCUCCACCAACUACUGGGAGCGCUACUACACACUUGUGCCCUCGGCUGUGGCCCUGGGCAUGGCCAUCGUGCCUCUUUGGGCUUCCAUGGGCAACUACAUCACCAGGAUGGCGCAGAAGUACCACGAGUACUCCCACUACAAGGAGCAGGAUGGGCAGGGGAUGAAGCAGCGGCCUCCGCGGGGCUCCCACGCGCCCUAUCUCCUGGUCUUCCAAGCCAUCUUCUACAGCUUCUUCCAUCUGAGCUUCGCCUGCGCCCAGCUGCCCAUGAUUUAUUUCCUGAACCACUACCUGUAUGACCUGAACCACACGCUGUACAAUGUGCAGAGCUGCGGCACCAACAGCCACGGGAUCCUCAGCGGCUUCAACAAGACGGUUCUGCGGACGCUGCCGCGGAGCGGAAACCUCAUUGUGGUGGAGAGCGUGCUCAUGGCAGUGGCCUUCCUGGCCAUGCUGCUGGUGCGGCCCGGGAUUGGGGCAGGACAGUCAGUGAAGCAGAGUGUGGUUCUGGGGACCGAGUCUGCGAGAAAGGGUCUGGAUCGGAUGGCGUGGCCUGGGUCGGGUUGUGGCCUCGGG